RNAcentral lists this small nuclear RNA (104 nucleotides) under Nannospalax galili (Upper Galilee mountains blind mole rat). Lineage: Eukaryota; Metazoa; Chordata; Mammalia; Rodentia; Spalacidae. The record is from RNAcentral.
GAUUUAAGAAUGGGAACCUCAUGCUCAGUUCAGCAGCACACAUACUAAGAUUAGCAUGGCCCCAACGCAAGGAUAACAGAAUUCGUGAAACAUUCCAUAUUUUA